GGCAGCACAGUUUUUAAAGCACUUGGCUGCUAAUCAAAAGGUCAGUGGUUCCAAUCCACUUGCUGCUC
RNAcentral lists this transfer RNA (68 nucleotides) under Loxodonta africana (African savanna elephant). It matches the Rfam family "tRNA". Rfam says of the family: Transfer RNA (tRNA) molecules are approximately 80 nucleotides in length. Their secondary structure includes four short double-helical elements and three loops (D, anti-codon, and T loops). Further hydrogen bonds mediate the characteristic L-shaped molecular structure. tRNAs have two regions of fundamental functional importance: the anti-codon, which is responsible for specific mRNA codon recognition, and the 3' end, to which the tRNAs corresponding amino acid is attached (by aminoacyl-tRNA synthetases). tRNAs cope with the degeneracy of the genetic code in two manners: having more than one tRNA (with a specific anti-codon) for a particular amino acid; and 'wobble' base-pairing, i.e. permitting non-standard base-pairing at the 3rd anti-codon position. Lineage: Eukaryota; Metazoa; Chordata; Mammalia; Proboscidea; Elephantidae. The record is from Rfam by way of RNAcentral.